AAUCAGUGCUGCUGGGAGAUUAUAAUGCUAAAUUAAUUUUUUUAAAGUGUUUUGCUGUUCCAGGAGGAAAGGUGUUAUGCAAAAGAAAAAUCUCCUCACUGUGAACUGUGGAUGUGGAAAGAUACAUGGUAGUGACCUCUGGUUUAAAUUACCAGCAAACAGCAUCCCAUAUCUGGAAAGAAAAUAAAGUUCAUGCAUUUCUUCAGCAACCAGUAUUUUCUAACUAUUGUGUUUUAGUUCAUCAUAUCUUGAAACAUUUAAAAGUCAGGAAACUAGAUAUAUAGCUGGUGGCUCAUCAGGGAACUACUGACAUACUAAUUAAGAAAUCAGAUAAUCAAUAUAGAAAUGUACAAUUUUCCUCGUGAUGUGGCAGCCAUUCUAAGAGCGUUGUUACAUAUACACUUUGGAGUGCCCAUCAGUACCGAGACAACCACAGUUUCUGGGUGCAAGGCAGCAACUGGAGGUUCCUAUGUAAUGCUGCACUUCUCAAGGCUCAUGGUGGAGCUGCCACCAUCACAAGCCCUGAGGACAUCAAGGCUGACACCAGCUUUUGGGGAUGGCUGGAGUCAAGGAGACUAAGAAAGAUUGUUGGUGGAAUGUUGCGGAGGGCACCAUGGCUCGGCCCAUUUCAUGGCAGAUAUGAUUUGCCCUUUGUUUUGCUGCUCUCUGGCCAGUGGCUUGUCACCCACAGAAGGAGUUGGUCUUUCAGAACAGGAUGUGCAGGGUCAAGAGAAACUCGCUGGCCCCACCACACCAAUCCUACACCAGAGCUAUUCCCCACCGCUCCAAGGAGACCUGUGUGACUCUGACAACCUUUCCAUAAGCCAUGUUUCCCUGACCUUUCCUUGUUCCCUCAGUGUGAAGGAGGAGCUAUGCUCUCUUGAUAACCAUAAAGUAAAAGAAGAAAGCUCUUUGCUCUCUCUCUGCCCCUGGCACACAUGAACAACAUUGUCUGGUCAAUGAGGAAGAAGUGAUGAAGACUAGUAACUUUUACAACAUUUCUUUGAUAGCUUUUUUUCCCAUCUGGCUUCAUUUCAUAUAUACAUAAACCAGUUUACAGAUAUUAUUAUCAAGCCUGAGUUAUGUAAAGCUUAUCUAAUCUACAACUUGCUUUAAAGAUUGUUAGAAGAAUGAUUUCUGCAUAAUAAAACCUCAGGAAUACACAAGUGAUCUUAGCAAAUACAGUAUGACUGCUGUGUGGUUUCCCGUUGCCUUUGUAGUUUCUAAGACACUAUAACAUUAUUUAAUUAGCUAAAAUUUCCUCUCUCUUGAGGAUGGAAACUCAAUGAAAUGUCAACAAUGCUGUCAGUCUGCUUCAGGCUAAACUCAUUACACAAAGGCUCGCGAUAAAAAUAGUCCAAGACAGAUUAUUUCAUAGCAAAACAGAGGCCCAUGCAACUUAUGCCUCAGAAACCAGAUGUGAAAACCAUGCAAGUGCUGCAUUUUGGGGGUUAAUGGGACUGUUAUGUUCCACUAAGCAAUUAUAGAUGCUAUGUACUUUCAUUGUUUUAUGUAUGGCUAACAAAAAGGAAAAAGAAAAACAUUAAAUCCUGCUAAUGAUUUCUCACAGGCUGUUUACUGAUGGACGUUCCUAUCAGUCAAAGGCUGAUAUUAAAUCUAUAUCUUUGCUUUAAAAAUUCACCUUCUCCUGCACCUGAGAAAAUGAGCAGAUAUAGUGUUUUAAGUAAAAUGUGGAAACAAGGAAGAAAUUGUUUCACUUAAUCUGAAUUAUAACUGAUAUUUCAGAAUACAUGUGCUCAUUACUAAGCAUAAUAAAAUUUGGCAUUUUCUAUUGUCAGAAGGUUUAUAAAGGCUAAAUUUCUUGAUUUAUUUAAAUAGACAGAUAGGAAAGAGCAAGCUACAAAAACAAGUGCUAUAUACUGAAGGCAUGUGAAUUACCUCCUUCCCAAGGAUAAUGCAAAUUAGAAGUAUGUAAAGCUUUGUCUGCACCUGGGAUCUUUAAUGAGUAUAAAGAAAAAUCAGACGGAGAUUCUCCUGGGAAAAGAGAGGAUCGUUAUUUGAAUAACCUGCAGUGAAUUCUAAUCAAUGCAACGUGACUUUGAAAAUGAAUGUGGUCUUUCAACCCGCUGUACAUGAGCCAUAAUAUUAAUCAUAACUUCAUGGCACAGUAAAGCCUAUGACAAAUGGCUAUUCAGUGGACUAACGAAAAGAGCAUUCAUAGUGGGAGGAAGGUAGGGGCCGUAUAUCCAGCAUUUUUUUGUUGUUGUUUGCAAAUACAUGUCUGAAAAUAUGUAUGCAUGUAUGUGAAUGUGAGAGUAUGUGUGCUAGCUCAUAUGUCAUAUGUGUGCGCCCUUGGUUUAGAACAUAAGCAGAAAACAGGUUUGUUUUCCUUCAGGUCUGACAUGAACAAGCAGUGCCGUAUCUUGUUAUGCUUCAAAGAAUAUUAUCUAGUGUUACACUAUUUAACACGAAGCUUGGGAUCAUUUUUUUUUUAGAAACAAGGCUUCCUGGAUACACUAGUCAUAUAUCUGCCGGUGUUUGAAGCCUCUCCUCUGCCUCUAAAAGGCUGGAGGUAAUUUGUGUAUUCUCUCCACUACUAAGCUUUGUUCACGUUCCUAUAUUUGUAGGAAGAGAUUAACAUAAAGCAUGGUUCACUGGCUGCAAAGUAGAAACAUGAUGCUGAUUUACUUACCCAGAGCAUAAAACAGAACUUUUAUGGGUUUUUUUUUAGUUUUGAGAAUUAAAAUCAAUAAACUUUUUGACAUUCUCUCUAUUAACAUGUUUGUAUCAGUGAAACAAGCUGCGUCCAAAAUCAGAAUUUCAAAGAAGCACAUCUAAAGGAAAUCAGAUGUAUUUCAUGAUGUAUUUUAAGGAGUGAGUGCAUAUUCUAGCCAGAGGGUUAUUUAUGUAGGGUACAGGGAAGUAAAUAUAUCUUGUUUUGUUGAAGUGAUGUGGUAAGGAUGUUCAUACAUAAGCAGUAAAAUGUGACAAGCUCUGCCAUAAAUGCUAUGCACCAACAUGCACAGUGAGAUUUUUUUUCUUCCUGCAGGAGGAAUUUGUCACCUUUGGUGGAUGCACACCCUGGAGGUCUGCUGGGCACGGAGCUCCAGUGUAGCAACCAAGCCAGCAUCACAAUGUGUUGUGUUGCGUGGAGAUAGCAACAGAAUCUGUACAGUGCUGAUGUAGCCACAUUAAUAGAUUCACAUAUAGACUAAAGUACAACUGCUGCCCAUGGCAGCCCUCAGGCAAAAGCUCCAGAAGAGCACAAAGGCCUUGAAGGUUAAGCUUGAGAUCUGUCAGUCUGGGAUAUGAAGCACGCUGCUGAGUUAAAGGUCUUCCACUUGCAACAUCUUGCGGUCUGACCCUGGACACUCAAAUUGGUAGCAGGAACCUAUCACAUCAUUAUGUUGCUCCUUCCGCUUCCACCACCACAAGAGACCUGCAGUUCUUGUUUCUGGCGCUCAGAUCCAUACCAGAAAACCAGAAUAUCAGCACAGUAAUAACAGCUGGCUAGAGCCCUGCUCUCUCUUCAGCCCUGCAGCUGUUCUCCCAUGUCACUUUAACUUUGUCUACAUUGUCGUAGUAUUCAUGAGUUCCAAAAAUAUAUUAUAAAAGUGGAAUAAAAGUGUGACACCUAUUUCCUCUUGCUUCCUCACUAUGGUCUUCUGUCAGUUUAGUCACAGAAGUAAAAAUAGAACCAAUUAUGAGGAAGGGAUGUCACAUGGAAGUAGCUUGAUAUUGUAUAUCCCAGUAAAAUAAUAGCAGCAAGGGUGUGCCCAAUUUCUAUAUCUGCUAAGAGAAAUGGCCUCUUGCAAACACUGUUCAGAAAGUUUGACUAAUUGCCAGCAUCAGAUGAAUAACAAAAUGCUGUCAAUAAAAGAAAUGAUUCUGUUCCUGUUAGCAACAGGGAAAACUGGCAGGAUUAGACCCGAAAGAGAGAGUAAUACAAAGGUCAUAUAUCUGAUUUCAGUCACAUAGAAGGAUUAUUGAUUUAUUCGAGGGUUACUGAAAUGAAGCUCUGGCUCAUGGUUCAGGUGAAGAUGGGAGGAAAGUGAUUACUGCUAUAUUACAGGCCUUCCCUGUAGAUAUGGUGUAUGGAAAUAACCACGGCUGAUCUUACAGGGAGUGUAGCAGAUGCACAGCAUCUGGUCUCUGGUCUCCAAGGCUACAUCUAUACUAGUAAACUAAACAGGCUUAGGACAUGUCUAAGCAAUGCUCCGUGAGAUCCAUAUUGUUUAACCCUUACUAUCGGCUCUGGCAUUUGGCCAUCAUCAAGCAGUGCUGCACAGGUCUGCAGGUGCUCCACAAAGGUAGUGGGGAUGAGCCUAUCUUAUCCUAGGGGAGAAAAGAGUAAGCUAUGAGCAGUGAGAGCUGAUCUGUGCAGAGCCCUGAGGCCACAGGAGGUGCCACCAUUCAUCCUAUUUAUUUCCAUUGACAUAGGCUGAAAGAGACCCCUCAUGAUCAUAGGUUUCUGAACCUGCUUAUCUCCAUCCAGUGCCUCUCAUUUUCUAUGGAAAUAAAACAACCCAAGUAUUUUUGCCCCAAAAAGGAAGAUUAAAUAAUACUUAAGUAAUGUCCCACACUUAAUAAUAUCCCAUUGUCUUUUUGAUGCUGUGGGAAAGGGACCAAUUUUCAUGCCAGCUUUGUUCGCUACACUUAGAAGAAAGCUCUAAUCUGCAACUGCAGCCCUUCAGCCACAAGAUAAAUGCACAGAAAUGUAACUCCUGCUGUAACUCCAGUGCUUAAAUUGGAUGUGGUCACCAUUUGUUCCCUGGAACACAGGACAAGGUGUUGGAACAGGACGAGUUCCCUUCCACACAGAGUGUCAAAUUCUUAUUCCGACUUCAGUGAACAGGAACUCAUCGCUGGCCUUCUGGAAUUCAGAAUUACAGCCUAAAGGGGUGGUUUUUGUUUCAUUAUUAUAUUGUCAAAGAAUGUGAUGCUGUUAUAUUUCUCCACAGUCUCCAAGCGUUUCCCAUGCACAACAGACUGGUAAGAGGGAAAUCCCCGGUGGAUUUUCUGGAUUCUUUAGAUCUUCUUCUUUUGGGGGUUAAUUUAAUCAGGAUUUUUAAAGGGAUAAUUACAUUUGUACAACUUUUUUUUUUUUUUUUUUUUUUUUUUUUAAGAGGCAAAAUUUAAACCUUUUUACACUGAAGAAAUUUGGAAUAUACCCAAGAAUUCCUUUCAAAGUAACAUCAUCAAAUAAUAUUCUCGUGUCUCUGAGAUUUAACAUUUCAGAUUCUUUCCUCUGCACCUUUUAUUGUUCCUAUUUACAGUGCACCUGAAACACAUUGUGUAAUUGGCAGAGAGCCCAGAUUUUCCAUUUAAGAACAGUUUGAUGAUUUCACUUUUUCUUUCUCUCUCUUUUUUUUUUUUUUCUGAAAACAGCAGGUGCUCUGCAUUGUAAACAAUGCCAGUCGCCAUAAUAUUAUUAGCUUUUGCAUUUUUAUUACAUUUUUGCCUCCCUACAUAUUUUAAACUUCAUUGCAAGGCAUUUUUGGCACCAACUCAGAAAGCCUCUUAUUUCAUAAGGAAGAUGGAUACCAGUGAACACAGUGCUUUGUUGUCAUUUGUAAUUAGAAAGAGCAAGAUUUACUUAAUCAUUAAACCACUCAAUAUUUG
Gallus gallus (chicken) is the source of this 5583-nucleotide long non-coding RNA. RefSeq lists it as uncharacterized. The transcript has 2 exons. NCBI's taxonomy places the organism in Eukaryota, Metazoa, Chordata, Aves, Galliformes, Phasianidae. The record is from RefSeq and is a predicted model, not a curated record.